CCUACGGGUGGCAGCAGUGAGGAAUAUUGGUCAAUGGCCGAGAGGCUGAACCAGCCAAGUCGCGUGAGGGAAGACGGCCCUACGGGUUGUAAACCUCUUUUGUCGGGGAGUAAAGCGAGUCACGUGUGACUGAUUGAGAGUAUCCGAAGAAAAAGCAUCGGCUAACUCCGUGCCAGCAGCCGCGGUAAUACGGAGGAUGCGAGCGUUAUCCGGUUUUAUUGGGUUUAAAGGGUGCGCAGGCGGUGGUGUAAGUUAGCGGUCAAAUUGCGGGGCUAACCCCCGAACUGCCGUUGAAACCGCAUGCCUUGAGUACGCGAGAAGUAUGCGGAAUGGGUGGUGUAGCGGUGAAAUGCAUAGAUAUCACGCAGAACUCCGAUUGCGAAGGCAGCAUAC
This 393-nucleotide ribosomal RNA is filed under the name uncultured bacterium. RNAcentral's name for it is "partial 16S ribosomal RNA". It matches the Rfam family "Bacterial small subunit ribosomal RNA", at positions 338 to 729 of the family's 1533-position model. The record is from RNAcentral.